Molecule: ribosomal RNA, 326 nt
Filed under: uncultured eukaryote
Lineage: Eukaryota
Description: partial 18S ribosomal RNA
Rfam family: Eukaryotic small subunit ribosomal RNA
Source: RNAcentral
CCCUUAGAUGUUCUGGGCCGCACACGCGCUACACUGAAGGAGGCAGCGUGUACUCCUGGAUCGAAAGAUUUGGGUAACCCGCGAAUCUCCUUCGUGCUAGGGAUUGAGGUUUGCAAUUAUCCUUCAUGAACGAGGAAUUCCCAGUAAGUGCAAGUCAUAAGCUUGCGCUGACUACGUCCCUGCCCUUUGUACACACCGCCCGUCGCUACUACCGAUUGAAUGAUUUAGUGAGGACUUCGGACUGGGACCGAUGCGGCUUUCGGCUGCGUCGGUAUUCUGGAAAGAUGUCCAAACUGUAUCAUUUAGAGGAAGUAAAAGUCGUAACA